CAGUCGCCACGGUAAUACAGAGGGUGCGAGCGUUAAUCGGAUUUACUGGGCGUAAAGCGUGCGUAGGCGGCUUCUUAAGUCGGAUGUGAAAUCCCUGAGCUUAACUUAGGAAUUGCAUUCGAUACUGGGAAGCCAGAGUAUGGGAGAGGAUGGUAGAAUUCCAGGUGUAGCGGUGAAAUGCGUAGAGAUCUGGAGGAAUACCGAUGGCGAAGGCAGCCAUCUGGCCUAAUACUGACGCUGAGGUACGAAAGCAUGGGGAGCAAACAGGAUUAGAUACCCCUGUAGUCCCUGUCUCUUAUAC
This 301-nucleotide ribosomal RNA is filed under the name uncultured bacterium. RNAcentral's name for it is "partial 16S ribosomal RNA". It matches the Rfam family "Bacterial small subunit ribosomal RNA", at positions 509 to 807 of the family's 1533-position model. The record is from RNAcentral.